UUAGUAUUUGACACUUUUGAUCCCUUUUAGCCUUCACUUUGACUGCAGGGUCCAGAGUUCCGUGUUGAGCUUUUUAAUCAGCUAAAUGCUCCAACAUGAUCAACCAGCAAGAUGCUAACUGUCUAUCAGCUGUUUGGUGCUGAGCAGAGCUUAGAGAUGUCCGCUUCUCCCCCCAUAUGGUGAGUUGUCACUGGGGUGACACAGUGCAGCCCUCCCCUGUGUGGGACCUCCAGACAGCCUUCAUACGGACCGAGUAAACAACAACUGGACAUGGGAUGAUGCUUGGAAUAUCAUCAUGUUUUGGGGGCAGGAUUUUCCCUCCAAAAUCUGUGAUGAAAGAUUACACAUAUAUCAUCAGUAAAAUCAGUUUUCAUGUGUCAUA
Molecule: long non-coding RNA, 382 nt
Organism: Notolabrus celidotus (New Zealand spotty)
Lineage: Eukaryota; Metazoa; Chordata; Actinopteri; Labriformes; Labridae
Exons: 3
Source: RefSeq, a predicted model, not a curated record